This 480-nucleotide ribosomal RNA is filed under the name Triticum aestivum (bread wheat). Its description in RNAcentral is "partial small subunit ribosomal RNA". Lineage: Eukaryota; Viridiplantae; Streptophyta; Magnoliopsida; Poales; Poaceae. The record is from RNAcentral.
AUGAGGAGGAAUGGCACAGUUCUUGAGUGGAACUAUCAACGAGCCCAGGCAAGGGGACGGGCUACUUAUCCAAUCCUAAGACUUGUAUAUCAACGACCAAAUGCAUACAGUGGAUGGCGCCGAUCGACGAGCGAAGUUGCUAAAUUAAAUUCAGAUGCUGCUUUCGACGCUGACAGCGGUCAAAGCUGGGCUGGCGCGAUUGCUAGAGAUCACAGAGGGCAUGUAUUCUUGUCAGUCUGCAAGGAGUUGCCGCGAUCUACAAGUGUGGAAGAGGCUGAGGGACGUGCCACACUCCCCGGACUGCAUGCACUUGCAGCAGUGUACAGGGGAAAAAUUCAGUUAGAGGUGGACUGCAAGUGGAUAGCAGAUGCACUGAAGAAAAAUGCCCCAAACAGGUAUCUGAAUAAUGCCCUUGCUACGUUCUCUGCUUUCAAGGUGACUCACUCCGCGAGGGGAGGUAACAAGUGGCACAUGAAUUAG